AGAGCGAACGCUGGCGGCAGGCCUAACACAUGCAAGUCGAGCGCCCGUAGCAAUACGGGAGCGGCAGACGGGAUAGUAACACGUGGGAACGCGCCCUUCGGUUCGGAAUAACUCAGGGAAACUUGAGCUAAUACCGGAUACGCCCUUACGGGGAAAGAUUUAUUGCCGAAGGAACGGCCCGCGUCCGAUUAGCUAGUUGGUGAGGUAAUGGCUCACCAAGGCGACGAUCGGUAGCUGGUCUGAGAGGAUGACCAGCAUCACUGGGACUGAGACACGGCCCAGACUCCUACGGGAGGCAGCAGUGGGGAAUAUUGGACAAUGGGCGCAAGCCUGAUCCAGCCAUGCCGCGUGGAUGAUGAAGGCCUUAGGGUUGUAAAGUCCUUUUAACGGGGAAGAUAAUGACGGUACCCGUAGAAUAAGCCCCGGCUAACUUCGUGCCAGCAACCGC
RNAcentral lists this ribosomal RNA (448 nucleotides) under uncultured bacterium. Its description in RNAcentral is "SSU rRNA". It matches the Rfam family "Bacterial small subunit ribosomal RNA", at positions 26 to 518 of the family's 1533-position model. The record is from RNAcentral.